This 627-nucleotide ribosomal RNA is filed under the name uncultured bacterium. RNAcentral's name for it is "bacterial SSU rRNA". It matches the Rfam family "Bacterial small subunit ribosomal RNA", at positions 219 to 842 of the family's 1533-position model. The record is from RNAcentral.
UCAUGGAUGGGCAUGCGGCGCAUUAGGUAGUUGGUGGGGCAACGGCCCACCAAGCCGACGAUGCGUAGGGGUUCUGAGAGGAAGGUCCCCCACAUUGGAACUGAGACACGGUCCAAACUCCUACGGGAGGCAGCAGUGAGGAAUAUUGGUCAAUGGCCGGAAGGCUGAACCAGCCAAGUCGCGUGAGGGAAUAAGGCCCUACGGGUCGUAAACCUCUUUUGCCAGGGAGCAAUGCCGUCCACGUGUGGACGGAAGGAGAGUACCUGGAGAAAAAGCAUCGGCUAACUCCGUGCCAGCAGCCGCGGUAAUACGGAGGAUGCGAGCGUUAUCCGGAUUUAUUGGGUUUAAAGGGUGCGUAGGCGGCCUGCCAAGUCAGCGGUAAAAUUGCGGGGCUCAACCCCGUACAGCCGUUGAAACUGCCGGGCUCGAGUGGGCGAGAAGUAUGCGGAAUGCGUGGUGUAGCGGUGAAAUGCAUAGAUAUCACGCAGAACCCCGAUUGCGAAGGCAGCAUACCGGCGCCCGACUGACGCUGAGGCACGAAAGUGCGGGGAUCAAACAGGAUUAGAUACCCUGGUAGUCCGCACAGUAAACGAUGAAUGCUAGCUGUCCGGGGGGAUUGACCCCUGG